UAGAGCUUGUUCCUGGCUCAGAUUGAACGCUGGCGGCAUGCCUUACACAUGCAAGUCGAACGGCAGCGGACCUUCGGGUGCCGGCGAGUGGCGAACGGGUGAGUAAUGUAUCGGAACGUACCUUUCAGUGGGGGAUAACGUAGCGAAAGUUGCGCUAAUACCGCAUAUUCUGUGCGCAGGAAAGCAGGGGAUCGCAAGACCUUGCGCUGAUUGAGCGGCCGAUAUCAGAUUAGCUAGUUGGUGGGGUAAAGGCCUACCAAGGCGACGAUCUGUAGCGGGUCUGAGAGGAUGAUCCGCCACACUGGAACUGAGACACGGUCCAGACUCCUACGGGAGGCAGCAGUGGGGAAUUUUGGACAAUGGGGGCAACCCUGAUCCAGCCAUGCCGCGUGAGUGAAGAAGGCCUUCGGGUUGUAAAGCUCUUUCGGCCGGGAAGAAAUCGCAUGGGCUAAUACCCUGUGCGGAUGACGGUACCGGCAUAAGAAGCACCGGCUAACUACGUGCCAGCAGCCGCGGUAAUACGUAGGGUGCGAGCGUUAAUCGGAAUUACUGGGCGUAAAGCGUGCGCAGGCGGUUUCUUAAGCCAGACGUGAAAUCCCCGGGCUUAACCUGGGAACUGCGUUUGGAACUGGGAGACUAGAGUGUGUCAGAGGGAGGUGGAAUUCCACGUGUAGCAGUGAAAUGCGUAGAGAUGUGGAGGAACACCAAUGGCGAAGGCAGCCCCCUGGGUCGAUACUGACGCUCAUGCACGAAAGCGUGGGUAGCAAACAGGAUUAGAUACCCUGGUAGUCCACGCCCUAAACGAUGUCAACUAGGUGUUGGGUGGGUAAAACCAUUUAGUACCGUAGCUAACGCGUGAAGUUGACCGCCUGGGGAGUACGGCCGCAAGGUUAAAACUCAAAGGAAUUGACGGGGACCCGCACAAGCGGUGGAUGAUGUGGAUUAAUUCGAUGCUACGCGAAAAACCUUACCUACCCUUGACAUGUCUGGAAUCCCGAAGAGAUUUGGGAGUGCCCGAAAGGGAGCCGGAACACAGGUGCUGCAUGGCUGUCGUCAGCUCGUGUCGUGAGAUGUUGGGUUAAGUCCCGCAACGAGCGCAACCCUUGUCGUUAACUGCCAUCAUUUAGUUGGGCACUUUAACGAGACUGCCGGUGACAAACCGGAGGAAGGUGGGGAUGACGUCAAGUCCUCAUGGCCCUUAUGGGUAGGGCUUCACACGUCAUACAAUGGUCGGUACAGAGGGUUGCCAAGCCGCGAGGUGGAGCCAAUCCCAGAAAGCCGAUCGUCGUCCGGNUUGCNGGCUGCCCCUCGCCUGCNUGNNGUCGGNNUCGCUNGUNNUCGCGGAUCNGCNUGUCGCGGUGNNUNCGUUCCCGGGUCUUGUNCNCNCCGCCCGUCNCNCCNUGGGAGCGGGUUCCGCCNGNNGUAGGUAGCCUANCCGCAAGGGGGNCNCUUACCNCGGCGGGCUUUGAGAGUGGGGUGAAGUCGUAACAAGGUAACCAAUCGAAUCCCGCGGCCGCCAGGCGGCCGGAGCAGGAGGGGGCCC
RNAcentral lists this ribosomal RNA (1543 nucleotides) under uncultured Dechloromonas sp. Its description in RNAcentral is "bacterial SSU rRNA". It matches the Rfam family "Bacterial small subunit ribosomal RNA". Lineage: Bacteria; Pseudomonadati; Pseudomonadota; Betaproteobacteria; Rhodocyclales; Azonexaceae. The record is from RNAcentral.